RNAcentral lists this ribosomal RNA (407 nucleotides) under uncultured bacterium. RNAcentral describes it as "partial 16S ribosomal RNA". It matches the Rfam family "Bacterial small subunit ribosomal RNA", at positions 29 to 526 of the family's 1533-position model. The record is from RNAcentral.
AUUGAACGCUGGCGGCAGGCCUAACACAUGCAAGUCGAGCGGAGCGGCGGACGGGUGAGUAAUGCCUAGGAAUCUGCCUGGUAGUGGGGGAUAACGUCCGGAAACGGGCGCUAAUACCGCAUACUAUCAGAUGAGCCUAGGUCGGAUUAGCUAGUUGGGGGGGUAAAGGCCUACCAAGGCGACGAUCGGUAACUGGUCUGAGAGGAAGAUCAGUCACACUGGGACUGAAGCAAGGUCCGGACUCCAGCGGGAGGCAGCAGUAGGGAGUAUUGGACAAAUGGCGAAAGGCAGAUACAGGCAUGCCGCUGUUGUGAAGGAGGUCUUCGGAUUGUAAAAGACUGUAAGGUGGGGAGCGUUACCAACAGAAUAAGCACCGGCUAACUUCGUGCCAGCAGCCGCGGUAAUAC